UUUUGACUCCCAGAGAAACUGGCUGAAACUGGGCUCAACUUGAACAGACAUUAUCAUUAGGGAGAGCCAGCUAAAGUGAGAAGAAACACAACCUAUUAAGACUAACUCUUGCCAGGCCAUCAGCUUCCAAAAAAAAAGGUCCUCAUCAACUUAUAGUGGAGCAAAACUUGCUUGGAAACAUACCUGGGAUAUGCUGAAGAGAGAACAACAAUGGAGACUAUUUUCUCUGGGGGGUGGCUAACAUGCAGAAGAACUCUUCUGCCAAGCGGGAGAGAUGGACUCUGCUGUGAGCUUUUCAGAGAGAAGGUUCUCAGGAUAGGCUCCACUGAGGUUUGGGUUCCUCCAGCCCUGCAGCUGCUCAUAUUCAAUCCAGCAACAGCCUCACCAAGACUCCAGAAGCUUCAGCCCGCCUGACCCCAUUGAGAUAAGGUCUGAUUGUACCCUCAUUUUCAAAACCAGGAAUGCACAGAAAAAGACAGAAGGCAAUGGCAUCUUUUGACAUAACGGACUAUCAUGACCCUCUGUAAAACCAUUAACAACUAUUAUAGGCGACAAAUGUACAGACAGCAUAUAUUAGGAGUAAUGAACCUUAUUAGUGCAUUGGUUCCAUAUGCAUAUCUAUGAGAAAGCAAAAUUGUAACAUUGGGAACAAAUGAAAAGUUAAACAAAAUUCUCCAUAUAAACUACAGUCACUGACAUAUAAACUACAGUCCAAAGCUGACAGACAACAUUCCACAUAAUGUUAUAGGGACGUGGAGAAAUGACUCCUCCCUCUCGAAGGCAAUCUUUGCAGCUUCAAACCGUGCACAGUGACAUUCUUUUAAAAAAAAUUCAGAGUUAAAAGAACAACGAUUUAUCAUUGUUUACUAUAUAUCAAAAACACAGCCAUUACCAAAGCCACAGAAAACCUUCACUUACACAUUUUUAUUUUCUGCAUUCUAGCCCACACCUUGGAAACUGAAUCCCUUUCCUUCAUCGAGAGUUUCCAAAGACUUUACACUUUGGAUAUAUUAUGCCUGAUCUAACAAUAAAACAAUGCAUAGAUAUCUCCCCACCAAAAUGUCUAUCUCAAUUAAUUUGGAGUUUACGAGGUUCUUGGCACAGUUCCUGACACGAAGUGAUUACUCAGUAAAUGUCACCCUCCUCACCCCUAUGUCUCCAUGAACCCAGGAAAUAGCAGGUGCUUCUCCUCCGGUAGCUGUGCAGUAAAUGUUGAUUGAUUUACUAACUGAUGACAGAAAACAAUUUCAAAAAUUAUACUUCUUUACCAUUCAGCAAUCUUAACCUCAACAAUGUAUGGAAAGAAAAACAUUGACGGUGAGGGUAAAAGCAGGUCAUGACAAUCCACUCAUGCUUCUACUACAGCUACCAUCCUAAAGGCUUGCUGGACAUUUCCAGGGUCCAGAGAGAUCACUAAUAGCAACAAUAAGAGCUUAAGAGUAAUCUAAGCAUGUUAAUUGCACUAA
This 1466-nucleotide long non-coding RNA is filed under the name Homo sapiens (human). Its description in RNAcentral is "HSALNT0130610". The record is from RNAcentral. Lineage: Eukaryota; Metazoa; Chordata; Mammalia; Primates; Hominidae.